RNAcentral lists this microRNA precursor (69 nucleotides) under Dipodomys ordii (Ord's kangaroo rat). Its description in RNAcentral is "mir-711 microRNA precursor family". It matches the Rfam family "mir-711 microRNA precursor family". Lineage: Eukaryota; Metazoa; Chordata; Mammalia; Rodentia; Heteromyidae. The record is from Rfam by way of RNAcentral.
GCUGACUUUGAAUCUCUCCUCAGGGUGCCGCGGGUAAAGCCGGGGAGCCAGGGAGAGACGUAAGUGACG